Molecule: ribosomal RNA, 429 nt
Filed under: Actinomycetes bacterium
Lineage: Bacteria; Bacillati; Actinomycetota; Actinomycetes
Description: Actinobacteria bacterium partial 16S ribosomal RNA
Rfam family: Bacterial small subunit ribosomal RNA
Source: RNAcentral
UAGGGAAUCUUCCGCAAUGGGCGAAAGCCUGACGGAGCAACGCCGCGUGAGUGAUGAAGGUCUUCGGAUCGUAAAACUCUGUUAUUAGGGAAGAACAAAUGUGUAAGUAACUAUGCACGUCUUGACGGUACCUAAUCAGAAAGCCACGGCUAACUACGUGCCAGCAGCCGCGGUAAUACGUAGGUGGCAAGCGUUAUCCGGAAUUAUUGGGCGUAAAGCGCGCGUAGGCGGUUUUUUAAGUCUGAUGUGAAAGCCCACGGCUCAACCGUGGAGGGUCAUUGGAAACUGGAAAACUUGAGUGCAAAAGAGGAAAGUGGAAAUCCAUGUGUAGCGGUGAAAUGCGCAGAGAUAUGGAGGAACACCAGUGGCGAAGGCGACUUUCUGGUCUGUAACUGACGCUGAUGUGCGAAAGCGUGGGGAUCAAACAGG